RNAcentral lists this unclassified non-coding RNA (329 nucleotides) under Hevea brasiliensis (rubber tree). Lineage: Eukaryota; Viridiplantae; Streptophyta; Magnoliopsida; Malpighiales; Euphorbiaceae. The record is from RNAcentral.
AUGUAAUAAAUUGGUAUCAGAGCCAAACGUCAUGGGCGACUCACAUACAAGAGAUGGCCUAUGAGCUCUUCUCUAGCAAACACAAGCAGCUACCGAAGUAAGGGUAGCUCAGGUUGAGUCGAGAAUGGAGGGUAACCCAAUCAGAGUCAAGACUGGAAGCCUAGCUACAUAACCUAUCUUGACAGCUCUAAGAACUCCUUUGUGGUAUAUAGGGGAACCAAGGAGAAGAACCAGAAGAUGGCAAAGGAAGUAGUGGCAGCAACCUAGUAAAUCUCAGCAAUAGAAUUGAAACAGAGACGCAAAACGAGAUAGAGAUAGUACUAAGGAAU